AGAAAACUAUACCUAUCUAUCUUCAAAUCCAUCAAAGACUCCAGAAGGAUGAUAUGUUACCUAGUGACAGGGUCAUCAGACUGCCUGGACAGUCACCCAAAGUUCCUCUGCUCCAUGUUUUUAUUAUUAAGACCAAUUCACUAGAAUUCACUCUACAGGAGUCUGGGAGUUUAAUCAAUACCAUGCAGUGGAAGACCCAUCUUUUAAGAUGUACACCCCUUUGUUUUAUCUCCUUAAGUAUUUAUUUGACACCGUCACUCUGCUGAAUUCUCUGAUUCUAUGUGUGUGUGUGUGUGUGUGUGUGUAUUUUGGUAGUACUCUGUUGAAUAGUCUAACCAUGAACACUUCAGAAAUUAUAGUGGAAUCUUGCUCUUUCAGAUUAUUGAUGUGGAAAUUGGCCUCCCUGCCUGUGUUCUGUUGGCUUAGAAGCAUGUAGAAAAGUGGUAUUAACAUUAGCACAUUGCAUCAGAGUGUGCUUCAUUUAUGUUGGAGUCUGCAGCUUAAUCUUCAUUACUUGUGUAUCUGCUUAGCAGUGCUUUGGCAAAUACAACAGAGAAAAUGCACCCUCUUCUUCUGAAAUCGUGUCUGACUUCAGAAGUCUUAACUCACAGUUUGACAGAUGUUUUCUUUGUAUCAUCUAUAUUAAGAAAUAAUUUUUAGUCUGUCUUCAGGAAUCUAGAUUUUUUUUUCUCAAACAUGGUGCUAUAUUCACAAUCCAGGAUGCUUCCUUUCAUGUGAUAUGCAGAAGAAAAAGCUUUUAUGGAAAUUGUUUUUUCUGUUUAAAAAAUAGACUAAACUGUACAAUAUAUUAGCUGUUGGCUUAUUGUAUACACUUAAAUAUACUUCAAAAAUAGUAGUUUAUGGGGAAUAACAUAAGAAUGUUUUACAUUAAGCAAUAUGUUCCAUUGACAAGUUCAGAUUUUUAGAUAUGGUAAUUUGAGUAUUAUAAUAAUUCAAUACUUUUCUUACAGAAGAUUAUACCAGAAUUUAAUAAAGUAAACUAUACCCUGUCUUUAUUUUCCUACUCCAUAUGCAGCUAUUUUACUUUAAAUGGCUAUACAUCAUAAGAAAUGUAAGCCGGGCGGUGGUGGCACACGCCUUUAAUCCCAGCACUCGGUGGCAGAGCCAGG
Non-coding RNA from Peromyscus maniculatus bairdii (prairie deer mouse), 1130 nucleotides. NCBI's taxonomy places the organism in Eukaryota, Metazoa, Chordata, Mammalia, Rodentia, Cricetidae. The record is from RefSeq and is a predicted model, not a curated record.